AGAUGUGAGGGUGAUCUGGCUGCGACAUCUGUUACCCCACUGAUUGCCAGGGUUGAUUUGGCUGAUCUGGCUGGCUAGGUGGGUGUCCCCUUCCUCCCUCACACUCCAUAUGUGUCCCUCCCGAAGCUGCACGCUUCGGUUGAAGAGGACAACCAAUCCCUGAUAGAGGAGGACCGUUCCCUCUUGGUCCAAGGGUAUAUGAAGUAGCUGCGCUCCCCUGCUAAACCUCCAAACAUCUCUCAAAAUCUGAGCCUUUCAAACACCAUUU
RNAcentral lists this small RNA (268 nucleotides) under Vicugna pacos (alpaca). RNAcentral's name for it is "7SK RNA (ENSVPAG00000015816.1)". It matches the Rfam family "7SK RNA", at positions 1 to 249 of the family's 331-position model. Rfam says of the family: 7SK was discovered as an abundant small nuclear RNA in the mid-70s but a possible function has only recently been suggested. Lineage: Eukaryota; Metazoa; Chordata; Mammalia; Artiodactyla; Camelidae. The record is from RNAcentral.